GUGCUCACUUCGGCAGCACAUAUACUAAAAUUGAAACGAUACAGAGAAGAUUAGCAUGGCCCCUGCACAAGGAUGACAUGCAAAUUUGUAAAACAUUAAAAGAGAUA
This 107-nucleotide small nuclear RNA is filed under the name Jaculus jaculus (lesser Egyptian jerboa). The record is from RNAcentral. Lineage: Eukaryota; Metazoa; Chordata; Mammalia; Rodentia; Dipodidae.